RNAcentral lists this unclassified non-coding RNA (335 nucleotides) under soil metagenome. RNAcentral describes it as "partial contains 5.8S ribosomal RNA, internal transcribed spacer 2, and large subunit ribosomal RNA". The stretch from base 1 to 120 matches the Rfam family "5.8S ribosomal RNA", at positions 35 to 154 of the family's 154-position model. The record is from RNAcentral.
GAUGAAGAACGUAGCGAAAUGCGAUACGUAGUGUGAAUUGCAGAAUUCAGUGAAUCAUCGAAUCUUUGAACGCACAUUGCACCUCUCGGUAUUCCGGGAGGUAUGCCUGUUCGAGCGUCAUUUGUACCCUCAAGCUCUGCUUGGUGUUGGGUGUUUGUUCCGCCUCUGUGUGUGAACUCGCCUCAAAACAAUUGGCAGCCGGCGUACUUGUUUCGGAGCGCAGCACAUUUUGCGAUCCAGAUCAACGUACAGCGGCAUCCAAGAAGCCUUAUUUAACGCUCUUGACCUCGGAUCAGGUAGGGAUACCCGCUGAACUUAAGCAUAUCAACGGAGGA